UUUCCUCCUCGGCCCGUUGGGAUCUCAGCAUCCCCCCCCCAAGGCAUCUAGAGGGCACCGAUCCCGGCGGACCGCCCGUCGGGGCAUCGGCGAGGUCCCUUUUCCUUUUCUGCAGCUGUCCGGCGGAGAGGAGCCGCGCGCAAGAAGCGCCACCGCCGCCGCCGCCCUCCGCGCGCCUCGCCUGCCCGUUGCCUUGCCAGCCUGCCAACCUUGCCAGCCUCGGGCGGCGGCAUGGCCAAGAACACGUCGCUCCACUUCCGCGUGGUGGAGGGAAAGGACCUGCCGGCCAAGGACGUAUCCGGCACAAGUGACCCUUAUUGUAUCAUCAAAGUGGACAAUGAAGUGGUGGCCAGGACGGCCACAGUAUGGAAGAAUCUGAACCCUUUUUGGGGGGAGGAAUUCACCCUGCACCUCCCGACGGGAUUCCACCACCUCUCUUUCUACGUUCUGGAUGAGGACACUAUAGGGCAUGACGAUGUGAUUGGUAAAAUCACCCUCAGCAAGGAAGCCAUCUCGUCCCAUCCACGGGGAAUCGACAGCUGGAUCAACCUGAACCGUGUCAAUCCCGAUGAGGAGGUGCAAGGGGAGAUCUCUCUCGAGUUACAGGUGGUGGAGGAAGCCCACAAGGGGGCGCUUUGCUGCCAUGUCAUUGAAGCCAGGGACCUUGCACCACGGGACAUCUCUGGCACCUCAGACCCCUUUGUCCGUGUCCUUUGGAAUGGGCAGGUCCUGGAAACAGCUAUUAUCAAGAAGACCCGCUUCCCCCACUGGAAUGAGCUGCUGGAGUUCGUCCUGGAGGAGGGGACUUCUGGUGAAACUCCUCUGGUAGUGGAAGUGUGGGACUGGGACAUGGUGGGCAAGAAUGACUUCCUAGGACGGGUUGUGUUCUCUUUGGAUGCCUUCCAGAAAGCCCCUCUCAAAGGCUGGUACCGCCUGCUGCCUUUUCCUAAGGAAGAGGAGGAUGCUGGGGGGAAGCUGGGGGCCCUGAGGCUCCGGGUUCGGCUGGCUGAGGAAAGGAUCCUACCUUCCAGGUACUACCAGCCCCUCGUAGACCUGCUGGUGGAGUCAGUCGUCUGCCCUCCAGAGGAGGAGAAUGUCACACCCGUGGCCCUCCUGGAAGAAGUGUGCUCAGUGGAGAGUCGCCAAGAUGUGGCCACCAGAUUAGUCAAGAUCUUCCUUGGGCAAGGCCUUGUUGUGCCCUUCUUGGACUACCUCAACCUCCGGGAGAUUUCUAGAACGACGGAUCCAAACACCCUCUUCCGCUCAAACUCCUUGGCCUCGAAAUCUAUGGAGCAGUUCAUGAAGGUGGUGGGAAUGCCCUACCUGCAUGAAGUAUUGAAGUCCAUCAUUAACCGGAUCUUUGAGGAGAAGAAGUACGUGGAGCUGGAUCCGUGCAAGAUUGAACCCAGCCGGACCAGGCGGAUCUCCUUCAAGGGGUCCCUCUCUGAGGCCCAGAUCCGAGAGAGCAGCUUGGAGGUGCUGAAGGGCUACCUGCGGGACAUCAUGGAGGCCAUUGUGGGCUCAACGAAGGAGUGCCCAGCCGCUAUGAGAGUGGCCUUCAAGCGGCUGCAUAAGCGUGUGGCCGACCGCUUUCCGGAAGCCGAGAACCAGGAUGCCAAAUACCUCGCCAUCAGCGGCUUCCUUUUCCUCCGUUUCUUUGCUCCGGCCAUCCUGACUCCGAAGCUGUUCAACCUCCGAGACCAGCAUGCAGGCACGCAGACUAGCCGGACCCUCUUGCUCUUGGCCAAGGCGGUACAGAGUAUUGGCAACCUGGGCCUCCAGGUUGGGCAUGGCAAGGAACAGUGGAUGGAGCCCUUGCACCCCUUCAUCCUGUCCAGCAUCGGACGAGUCAAAGAGUUCCUGGACCAGCUCAUCGAGGUGGACUGUGAGGACGAGGCCAACAAGAAGCAGUCAUGGACGCUUGUCCACCCGUCGGCCACCAUCAAAGAGGGCUACCUCCACAAGCACAAGGCUGACGGUCUCCACUUGGUCUCCCGCUUCACUUUCAAGAAACGCUAUUUCUGGCUCAACAACAAGAGCUUCUCCUACUCCAAAUCUCCGGAGUGGCAGGCCCGUACAUCUAUCCCUGUUCAGCAGAUCUGUGCUGUAGAGCGUGUUGACGAGAAUGCUUUCCAGCAGCCACACAUCAUGCAGAUAACAACGCGCGACAACGGAAGUCAGCUGCUCACCAUGUACAUUCAGUGUAAGAACGUCAACGAACUCAACCAGUGGCUCUCGGCCAUCCGGAAAGUGACCGUCUCUAAUGAGCGCAUGCUUCCCUUUUGCCACCCCGGCGCCUUCCGUGGCAAUCGGUGGACUUGCUGCUUGCAGACGAACCGCACGGCUCGUGGCUGCAGCCGCACGCACUCUGCGGUGACCCUUGGCGACUGGAGCGACCCUUUGGAUCCUGAUGUGGAGACCCAGAUGGUGUACAGGCAGCUUCUGCUGGGCAGAGACAAGCUGAGGGAGAAGCAUCAGGAGUUUGUGAAGAAAGAGCCUACCCAGGAGCAAGGGAGUGGAGCACAAAAAGGUUCAGAUGCAAACAGCCAAAGGACAGCCAUGGCUGCCCGCCUUUUAGAAGUCAUCCAGGCCCUCGAGCAGGCUCAUGAUGCCUUUGAACACCAAGAAGAAGAGGAAGAAGAAGAGAAGGCUCAGAUCAGCAUCACGCCCCCACCUUAGGCGGCUUCCUGCAUCCAUUUGACACCCCUCCCCGUGGUGUUUUCUUCAUAUUGUCAUGGAUGUGAUCUGUCAGGGCAUGGUGGGUUAAGAGCCGGGAUCUGUCCCCUUGUGUUUUGACGAGUUGUGUGGCUUUGCAGAUUGUAGCAGACGGUGGCCAUGCUCGGCCCUUGGCUUUCGAAGGACGGAGAGACUGUGGCACAAAUGGCAGGCGCCUUUCGUCUCUUGGUGGCCACGUCCAGCUGACGUCUAGCUUGGAUCUGCCAUUAGAAGACAUUCCAGGAGAAAAGGAAGUGUAUCUUCAUGGACCAUGCUCUUCUUAAGCCCAGAGUGCAUUCCCAUGGAAUGUGUGCUUCUCCCCAUUGCCAAUUUCGAGAGCGCCACCUUCUGUCUUGCCCCACUGGCCGUGACACAGAAAGACCAUCCCACGUCAGAGCGCAGUCAAGAGUAGAGAUUAGAAUCUGGGCUAGUUCUGAACACACAGUGGAGCAGCUGCGUCUGCUUAUCUGCCUGGCCCUUGUGCCGUGGACGGACAAAGUGCCACUGCAGCCUGCUUUGAGACUCGGGUGCUAAUGACCGGGACACCAUCACCACCAACACCGGGCAGUUGCUUCUAAUAGGAGAUGUUGUGGUCCACCAGGGCCGUUCUCCUGUCUUUUCCUCCUGAGCACCCCUGUGUUCCUUUCUCCUUGAGUACAGAGCAAUGAAAUGCAAUAUAACCAGUGGUAGCACAGCAGGGUUGAUUUGGGGGCUUGUAUCCCCCAAAAUCUAGUGUUUCUGACCUCUGGUCCUCUGUAGCCCAAAUUGGCCUCAAUUGGUGGUGAGUGCUUCCAUUCAGCCCUGUCUCAGUGAAAGGCGUACAGAAGAUUGUAGGUUCAAUCUUUGCAAGCGGAAGAUUGUAGGUUCAAUCUUUGCAAGCGGAAGAUUGUAGGUUCAAUCUUUGCAAGCGGAAGAUUGUAGGUUCAAUCUUUGCAAGCGGAAGAUUGUAGGUUCAAUCUUUGCAAGCGGAAGAUUGUAGGUUCAAUCUUUGCAAGCGGAAGAUUGUAGGUUCAAUCUUUGCAAGCGGAAGAUUGUAGGUUCAAUCUUUGCAAGCGGAAGAUUGUAGGUUCAAUCUUUGCAAGCGGAAGAUUGUAGGUUCAAUCUUUGCAAGCGGAAGAUUGUAGGUUCAAUCUUUGCAAGCGGAAGAUUGUAGGUUCAAUCUUUGCAAGCGGAAGAUUGUAGGUUCAAUCUUUGCAAGCGGAAGAUUGUAGGUUCAAUCUUUGCAAGCGGAAGAUUGUAGGUUCAAUCUUUGCAAGCGGAAGAUUGUAGGUUCAAUCUUUGCAAGCGGAAGAUUGUAGGUUCAAUCUUUGCAAGCGGAAGAUUGUAGGUUCAAUCUUUGCAAGCGGAAGAUUGUAGGUUCAAUCUUUGCAAGCGGAAGAUUGUAGGUUCAAUCUUUGCAAGCGGAAGAUUGUAGGUUCAAUCUUUGCAAGCGGAAGAUUGUAGGUUCAAUCUUUGCAAGCGGAAGAUUGUAGGUUCAAUCUUUGCAAGCGGAAGAUUGUAGGUUCAAUCUUUGCAAGCGGAAGAUUGUAGGUUCAAUCUUUGCAAGCGGAAGAUUGUAGGUUCAGUCUUUGCAAGCGGAAGAUUGUAGGUUCAAUCUUUGCAAGCGGAGGAUUGUAGGUUCAAUCUUUGCAAGCGGAAGAUUGUAGGUUCAAUCUUUGCAAGUGGAAGAUUGUAGGUUCAAUCUUCAGCAUUUUCAAGUAUGGCUCAGAAAAUUAUGUGCUUGAAACCAUGUCAAGCCAAUGCUGCCGAGGGAUGGGAUUUUCAGAUUUUCUGGACUGCAAAUGCCAUUAUUGCUCAUUCUGGGAGUUCUACCUAUCUUGCAGACACCUUAGAAACACCUAAAUGUGAUGCCCUUUAGAAGGCCUGGUUUUGAGGCUGUCCUAGGACUACUUCCACCCAAACUUCUUGUUGCUUCCCCACUACUCGCUGGGAGCUUCCUUUCUGAAGAGGAAGCUAGAUGGAAUUAAGCCCAGCUAAACCUCUGAGCCUCGUAAUUUAGGUCUUUCCUCCACGUGAGCCAUGCGUAGGUGUUUGUAUGGUGCCUGCAAGUUAGGCAGAACU
This is a non-coding RNA of Pogona vitticeps (central bearded dragon), 4776 nucleotides long. The record is from RefSeq and is a predicted model, not a curated record. NCBI's taxonomy places the organism in Eukaryota, Metazoa, Chordata, Lepidosauria, Squamata, Agamidae.